UUCCCCCUUCAGUCAAGAGUGAGCGGAGGGAGUUACUCUUAUCAGUGGAUGAGUUUGGCUCAGGAAAAUGGUUGGCAUGUUUUGCUUGAUGCAUGUGCAUUGGGACCAAAGGAUAUGGAUAGCUUUGGACUCUCCUUAAUCCAUCCUGACUUCCUUAUUUGCUCUUUUUAUAAGGUUUUUGGUGAAAAUCCUACAGGGUUUGGAUGCCUCCUUGUCAAGAAAUCAGUUGUGUCGAUGUUGGAAGGUUCGGUUAGUACAGGCAUUGUGAGUCUUGUUCCACCAACACAAGUAUUAGAUUCAUCUGGGAGUGGAGAUAAAACCAAUUUUGUUACGAAACUGGAUGAGCUACAUAUAUGUAGGUCUAAUUCAGCUGAAAAGGAUAAGAUCAAAGAGGAAUCAGACGAAUCGAUUAGUAGACUAGGCAAGGUGGAAGAAAAAGGGAUUGAAUGCAGAUGCUUGGAUCAUGUGGAUUCGCUCGGACUGAUUCAAAUUGGUAAUAGAAGAAGGUACCUAGUGAAUUGGCUUAUUAGUGCACUCCUGAAGCUUGAGCAUCCAAACAGACUGGACCAUUUUCCUCUGGUCAAAAUCUAUGGUCCAAAGAUAAAAUUUGACAGGGGAACUGCUAUGGCGUUCAAUCUGUUCGACUGGAAAGGAGAAAGGGUGGAACCAAUUCUCAUACAGAAGCUUGCUGAUCGAAACAAUAUAUCGCUCAGCCAUGGGUUUCUGUCACAUUUGUGGUUUCCAGACAAGUACGAGCAAGAGAAGCAGAGGACUUUACAAGGAAAAAAAUGUGAUGCAGAGAACAAAAGAUGUGAAUUUGGGAUAUCAGUAGUCACCGUUGCCCUUAACUUUCUGGCAAACUUUGAAGAUGUUUAUCGGCUUUGGACAUUCAUAGCUCAGUUUCUCGAUGCAGACUUUGUGGAGAAAGAACGGUGGAGAUACAGCUCCCUGUAUCAGAAAACCAUUGAAGUUUAACAUACCUGUUUUUGUCCACAAAAUGUAUGACAGUCCAAACAUUUGGAUGGAAACCUAUAUAUUGUGAAUCACAGGAUAAAAAGCUAUAAAUAAGAAAUGUUGUUGCAUUUAAGAACAAAAAUUGGAAUGUAUUUUCAACAAAACGUAAUAACAGG
RNAcentral lists this unclassified non-coding RNA (1130 nucleotides) under Hevea brasiliensis (rubber tree). Lineage: Eukaryota; Viridiplantae; Streptophyta; Magnoliopsida; Malpighiales; Euphorbiaceae. The record is from RNAcentral.